GGAAGUGUGGCUGAGUGGCUGAAGGCAUCGCUUUCGAAAAGCGACAUGCGGGAAACCGCAUCAGGGGUUCGAAUCCUCUCACUUCCG
This 87-nucleotide transfer RNA is filed under the name Candidatus Campbellbacteria bacterium RIFCSPHIGHO2_01_FULL_34_10. RNAcentral's name for it is "tRNA-Ser". It matches the Rfam family "tRNA". From Rfam's summary of the family: Transfer RNA (tRNA) molecules are approximately 80 nucleotides in length. Their secondary structure includes four short double-helical elements and three loops (D, anti-codon, and T loops). RNAcentral also lists the same sequence under 2 other names. Lineage: Bacteria; Candidatus Campbelliibacteriota. The record is from RNAcentral.